GUCAACUAUGGUGUUGGAUCCAACAAUUCGCAUUGGUCUCAAACCAAUGACAUCCAUUUCGAAGACCAUGAGUUUGAGGUGGACGAGGAGGGUGAGGGCAUUGUCGACGUGCCGAAAGGAAGAGCGGGCAAUUACACCACCAACGAUGACAAGUUACUAUGCAAUACUUGGUUGCAAGUGUCGAGGGAUCCAUCCGUUGGAGGUGAUCAAAGUAGAGAUGCUUAUUGGGGGCGAAUGAAAGAACGCUUUGAUGCUCACAACGUGAGUGGAAUUGACCGCUCCGAGAGAUCACUUCGGUCCCGAUUGUCACCCCAUUGUACGAGGAAGAUGAUUGAUGUGUCUUUCAUUUAUGUCUUAAACUUUAGUUUGCAUUUUGAACUUGGUUGGAUGAACUUGUGGGCAUGA
Molecule: ribosomal RNA, 405 nt
Filed under: Triticum aestivum (bread wheat)
Lineage: Eukaryota; Viridiplantae; Streptophyta; Magnoliopsida; Poales; Poaceae
Description: partial small subunit ribosomal RNA
Source: RNAcentral